RNAcentral lists this ribosomal RNA (254 nucleotides) under uncultured bacterium. RNAcentral's name for it is "partial 16S ribosomal RNA". It matches the Rfam family "Bacterial small subunit ribosomal RNA", at positions 524 to 776 of the family's 1533-position model. The record is from RNAcentral.
UACAGAGGGGGCAAGCGUUGUUCGGAAUUACUGGGCGUAAAGGGCGCGUAGGCGGCCUGCUAAGUCGAACGUGAAAUCCCCGGGCUCAACCCGGGAACUGCGUCCGAUACUGGUAGGCUUGAAUUCGGGAGAGGGAUGCGGAAUUCCAGGUGUAGCGGUGAAAUGCGUAGAUAUCUGGAGGAACACCGGUGGCGAAGGCGGCAUCCUGGACCGACACUGACGCUGAGGAGCGAAAGCCAGGGGGAGCAAACGGG